GAGAAACAAAAACCCUAACCGCUUUGGAUUGCAGCGGUGCUGUAGCCUCACCUGUGUCUCUUUCUUUCACUCUGCUUCGCCACGUCUCUCUCUUUCUUCUUUCUCAACUCGACAAAUUUUAGCUCUCUAUCAAAUCAAAUCUUGAGCUGUGUUUCUCGAGCAAAAGGUUUGUCUUUAUCCAUCUUUUAAUGCUUAAUUUCAUGACUCUGAAAACCUAAAUGGCUCUUCUUCUAGUGGGCUUUUAUUAAAGCUGCUGUGGUUUUCCCCUUUCGUUCUUUUAUUCACAUUUUGCUUCCAGCAUCAAUGGACAACACAGGAGCAUAAUAUCUGUUCUUUCAUUUCUAGGAUCAAUUUUCUCAAAUAACUCUUCUCAUGUACAAUCAUAGUGCUUUAAAGAAAAUCCCCUAAUUGUGCACUGGAUUAUGAGCAUACUGGUAUACUUAGAGCAAUACAAUUUUGCAGAUAGGAAUGGGAACCAGAGGAGUUAUUGGGGAUAAAUGGUCAAUGAGGAUUCUUUGGGCCUGUGCUAUUGGAAGUGCAAUCAGCCUGUAUAUGGUUGCUGUAGAAAGACAAACACAAAACAGAGACAGAAUGAUGGCCGAAAGUUUAAAGGCAAUGGAAGAAGAAUCAGGCAGUGGGGAGACUGUUUAAAUGUGAACUUACCUGAAUCAAUCUGGAUAAACUCUAUAGUAUCUUUCUAAACAGCCUUUCCUAAUGUUCCAAAAUGAGCUCUGUUUAUGCAAAAGGUUGUUACCUCUUUGUUUUGGGCAUUUGCAGUUUGAGGGUUUGUUUCUGACAAUAAUUAUAGUACUUGAUUGAUGAAUGGCAGGGAAUUUGAGAUGGCAUGACCUUUUGUUUUUGAUGCUCAACUCUUUAGAACUUGUUUUGUGCGGUUGCUAUUGAUGAAGGGCUUAUUUCUCUUAUUGGUAUAUUAUUGAACUAUAUUUUUGGUAUUGUUGGCAAAAGAAAAUACAUGUAUCAUGGUGAUUACUUUAAUUUUGGGUCGAGGGGCUAUGAUUUUGUGUUGAGAUCCUAUGUUGUUAUACUUUUAAAAGAAGAUGGGCAUGAAAAAUGGAGAAGAACUGUAAUAAAAUUGAAAUUCCUGCUACUGGAGAUAUGGUGCACAACAGGUAUUUGUGUAAAUGUCAAAGUGGCUUGUAAAAGUGCCAUGAAAGCUAGUAUUAUUUGUGUCAAGAGUGGAUGAGAACGAUAGUUUGAGGGAUAAGAAAAUAGAAUAGGUAGUUUUAUACGGUUAGCAAGACUUUCGAUUGCUUUUGAUUAGCAAUAACACACCAUUAUAAAUUGAGGAUUCAACUUCAUCCUUUAAAACAAUGAGGUUAUUGCAGAGAGGGUAAUAUAGUGACAUUUUACUGUCAUAUAGCUGUAAAAUAGAAUAUUUAACCAUUGUAAUGGAG
Molecule: unclassified non-coding RNA, 1415 nt
Filed under: Hevea brasiliensis (rubber tree)
Lineage: Eukaryota; Viridiplantae; Streptophyta; Magnoliopsida; Malpighiales; Euphorbiaceae
Source: RNAcentral